Long non-coding RNA from Xenia sp. Carnegie-2017, 98 nucleotides. RefSeq lists it as uncharacterized. Lineage: Eukaryota; Metazoa; Cnidaria; Anthozoa; Malacalcyonacea; Xeniidae. The record is from RefSeq and is a predicted model, not a curated record. The transcript has 2 exons.
GGCCAGCCAAUGAAUUUUGAUUUACACAAGAACCUUACUUCAAACGAAAUUAACGAAACAGAAUUUAAAUCUAAGGUUAAAUACAAUCCACCAAACGU